UACGAAGGGGGCUAGCGUUGCUCGGAAUCACUGGGCGUAAAGCGCACGUAGGCGGAUUGUUAAGUCAGGGGUGAAAUCCUGGAGCUCAACUCCAGAACUGCCUUUGAUACUGGCGAUCUCGAGUCCGGGAGAGGUGAGUGGAACUGCGAGUGUAGAGGUGAAAUUCGUAGAUAUUCGCAAGAACACCAGGGGCGAAGGCGGCUCACUGGCCCGGUACUGACGCUGAGGUGCGAAAGCGGGGGGAGCAAACAGG
This 253-nucleotide ribosomal RNA is filed under the name uncultured bacterium. RNAcentral describes it as "partial 16S ribosomal RNA". It matches the Rfam family "Bacterial small subunit ribosomal RNA", at positions 524 to 776 of the family's 1533-position model. The record is from RNAcentral.